RNAcentral lists this ribosomal RNA (301 nucleotides) under uncultured bacterium. RNAcentral describes it as "partial 16S ribosomal RNA". It matches the Rfam family "Bacterial small subunit ribosomal RNA", at positions 509 to 807 of the family's 1533-position model. The record is from RNAcentral.
CAGCAGCCGCGGUAAUACGUAGGGUGCGAGCGUUAAUCGGAAUUACUGGGCGUAAAGCGUGCGCAGGCGGUUAUAUAAGACAGAUGUGAAAUCCCCGGGCUCAACCUGGGACCUGCAUUUGUGACUGUAUAGCUAGAGCACGGUAGAGGGGGAUGGAAUUCCGCGUGUAGCAGUGAAAUGCGUAGAUAUGCGGAGGAACACCGAUGGCGAAGGCAAUCCCCUGGACCUGUACUGACGCUCAUGCACGAAAGCGUGGGGAGCAAACAGGAUUAGAUACCCGAGUAGUCCCUGUCUCUUAUAC